This 490-nucleotide ribosomal RNA is filed under the name uncultured bacterium. RNAcentral describes it as "partial 16S ribosomal RNA". It matches the Rfam family "Bacterial small subunit ribosomal RNA", at positions 30 to 507 of the family's 1533-position model. The record is from RNAcentral.
AUUGAACGCUGGCGGCAGGCCUAACUCAUGCAAGUCGAACGGUAACAGGAAGACGCUUGCUUCUUUGCUGACGAGUGGCGGACGGGUGAGUAAUGUCUGGGAAACUGCCUGAUGGAGGGGGAUAACUACUGGAAACGGUAGCUAAUACCGCAUAACGUCGCAAGCCCAAAGAGGGGGACCUUCGGGCCUCUUGCCAUCGGAUGUGCCCAGAUGGGAUUAGCUAGUAGGUGGGGUAACGGCUCACCUAGGCGACGAUCCCUAGCUGGUCUGAGAGGAUGACCAGCCACACUGGAACUGAGACACGGUCCAGACUCCUACGGGAGGCAGCAGUGGGGAAUAUUGCACAAUGGGCGCAAGCCUGAUGCAGCCAUGCCGCGUGUAUGAAGAAGGCCUUCGGGUUGUAAAGUACUUUCAGCGGGGAGGAAGGGAGUAAAGUUAAUACCUUUGCUCAUUGACGUUACCCGCAGAAGAAGCACCGGCUAACUCCGUG